This is a long non-coding RNA of Octopus bimaculoides (California two-spot octopus), 1138 nucleotides long. Lineage: Eukaryota; Metazoa; Mollusca; Cephalopoda; Octopoda; Octopodidae. The record is from RefSeq and is a predicted model, not a curated record.
AGUGAGAUAUUAAGUGUCUGAACCAACAGACAAAAAUGUUUAACCCAGUGGAAUUCAUCCUAGAACUACCACAUCAGUCAUUUCUUUUCCAGCUAUCAUUAUUCAAAAGGUGCCUUCCGAAUGGCAAGGUGAUGAAGUGGCAGAAAACAAUACAGCAUUAAGUAUGCUUAUUUGAAGCGAUCACUGUGGAAACAAACCAUUAUGCAGAAUGUAAACAAACAGAAUAUGUCAGGAAAGCCCAUGAAAUGGAGGAUCAAAGUCUGUGGGUACUGCUGUGGAUUUAGUUUUUCUACAGGGAAAAAGAGACAAUAAUGUUAGUCAGCAUGGCCUAGGGUACAAUGUGGUCUGGAAUUUAUCAAUUCCAUACCAUAACCAAGGCCAUAUAUUAUUUUUUGACCGAUUUUUUAGUUCGGUCAAACUUGCAGUGGAUUUAGAAGCUGUGACAACAUAUACGUGUGCUACAGUAAUUGCUAGUAGAAAAGGGCUGCUGUUGGAUAUAAAAAAAAGCAAAAUUAAAAGAGGUGAAACAAUCCAACAGCAGAAAGGAAAUCUGCUAGCAACUGCAUAGAGACAAGAGGCAAAUAAAUUUUCCAUCUACCAAUGCACAACCAUGUGUAGAUGAAAACGGCACUCCAUUUAUGAACCUUGAUUAUAACAGGCACAUGGGCAGUGUAGAUCGGCUGAACCAGAUGAUGAGUUAUUUGGUUGGUAGACCAGGUAAUAAAUGGUGGCGAUACCUGGUUUGGUGUAUAGUAAACAUGAGCAUUGUAAAUGCAUUUAUAUUAUAUACCAAAUCAGGAGGGGCUUGCAAGCGCUGCAACCAUCUGCAGUUUCGAGCAAGUUAUUCCUCCAAAAAAAUAACUACAAGAAGGAAAAGCAAAGCCUGCCAGAGAGAUAUCCCAGAGUUCGGUCCAUCUCCAUAAAUUAGAAAAAAUCAGGGGUCGCAAAAGGCAGUGCCGUGAAUGUUUAUCCACAAAGAAAAACUCCCAGUGAAUGGCCAGUUGAAACUUCUUUCUAAUGUACAUUCUGCAAUGUUGCCGUAUGUAGAGUGGGAUGUUUUACAACUUUCCAUGAUAGAAAUAUUGUGUGAAUAUUGUAUAUAUGUAUGAUUAGAUUGUAUAAAUAUUUUUCAAAUUUA